This 1276-nucleotide ribosomal RNA is filed under the name uncultured bacterium. RNAcentral's name for it is "bacterial SSU rRNA". It matches the Rfam family "Bacterial small subunit ribosomal RNA", at positions 119 to 1381 of the family's 1533-position model. The record is from RNAcentral.
GGAUAACCUACCUAUAAGACGGGGAUAACUUCGGGAAACCGGAGCUAAUACCGGAUAAUAUAUUGAACCGCAUGGUUCAAUAGUGAAAGACGGUUUUGCUGUCACUUAUAGAUGGAUCCGCGCCGCAUUAGCUAGUUGGUAAGGUAACGGCUUACCAAGGCAACGAUGCGUAGCCGACCUGAGAGGGUGAUCGGCCACACUGGAACUGAGACACGGUCCAGACUCCUACGGGAGGCAGCAGUAGGGAAUCUUCCGCAAUGGGCGAAAGCCUGACGGAGCAACGCCGCGUGAGUGAUGAAGGUCUUCGGAUCGUAAAACUCUGUUAUUAGGGAAGAACAAAUGUGUAAGUAACUAUGCACGUCUUGACGGUACCUAAUCAGAAAGCCACGGCUAACUACGUGCCAGCAGCCGCGGUAAUACGUAGGUGGCAAGCGUUAUCCGGAAUUAUUGGGCGUAAAGCGCGCGUAGGCGGUUUUUUAAGUCUGAUGUGAAAGCCCACGGCUCAACCGUGGAGGGUCAUUGGAAACUGGAAAACUUGAGUGCAGAAGAGGAAAGUGGAAUUCCAUGUGUAGCGGUGAAAUGCGCAGAGAUAUGGAGGAACACCAGUGGCGAAGGCGACUUUCUGGUCUGUAACUGACGCUGAUGUGCGAAAGCGUGGGGAUCAAACAGGAUUAGAUACCCUGGUAGUCCACGCCGUAAACGAUGAGUGCUAAGUGUUAGGGGGUUUCCGCCCCUUAGUGCUGCAGCUAACGCAUUAAGCACUCCGCCUGGGGAGUACGACCGCAAGGUUGAAACUCAAAGGAAUUGACGGGGACCCGCACAAGCGGUGGAGCAUGUAGUUUAAUUCGAAGCAACGCGAAGAACCUUACCAAAUCUUGACAUCCUCUGACCCCUCUAGAGAUAGAGUUUUCCCCUUCGGGGGACAGAGUGACAGGUGGUGCAUGGUUGUCGUCAGCUCGUGUCGUGAGAUGUUGGGUUAAGUCCCGCAACGAGCGCAACCCUUAAGCUUAGUUGCCAUCAUUAAGUUGGGCACUCUAAGUUGACUGCCGGUGACAAACCGGAGGAAGGUGGGGAUGACGUCAAAUCAUCAUGCCCCUUAUGAUUUGGGCUACACACGUGCUACAAUGGACAAUACAAAGGGUAGCGAAACCGCGAGGUCAAGCAAAUCCCAUAAAGUUGUUCUCAGUUCGGAUUGUAGUCUGCAACUCGACUAUAUGAAGCUGGAAUCGCUAGUAAUCGUAGAUCAGCAUGCUACGGUGAAUACGUUCCCGGGUCU